Molecule: ribosomal RNA, 254 nt
Filed under: uncultured bacterium
Lineage: Bacteria
Description: partial 16S ribosomal RNA
Rfam family: Bacterial small subunit ribosomal RNA
Source: RNAcentral
UACGGGGGGAGCAAGCGUUGUUCGGAUUUACUGGGCGUAAAGGGCGCGUAGGCGGCAAUUCAAGUCACUUGUGAAAUCUCCGGGCUUAACUCGGAACGGUCAAGUGAUACUGCUUUGCUAGAGUGCGGAAGGGGCAAUCGGAAUUCUCGGUGUAGCGGUGAAAUGCGUAGAUAUCGAGAGGAACACCUGAGGUGAAGACGGGUUGCUGGGCCGACACUGACGCUGACAGCGCGAAAGCCAGGGGAGCAAACGGG